Molecule: ribosomal RNA, 275 nt
Filed under: uncultured bacterium
Lineage: Bacteria
Description: partial 16S ribosomal RNA
Source: RNAcentral
CUGCUGCCUCCCGUAGGAGUUUGGACCGUGUCUCAGUUCCAAUGUGGGGGACCUUCCUCUCAGAACCCCUACGCAUCGUCGGCUUGGUGGGCCGUUGCCCCACCAACUACCUAAUGCGCCGCAUGCCCAUCCGUGACCGGGGUCGCCCCUUUGGCCGGCAGGGGACGUCCCCUCCCGGCAUUAUGUUGUAUUAGGCGGGAUUUCUCCCGGUUAUCCAUCUGUCACGGCCAGGUUGCAUACGUGUUACUCACCCGUGCGCCGGUCGCCGGCGGCAG